GUCUCGGUGGCGCAAUUGGUAAGCUUGCCCUUCAUCAAAUCACCCAAUCACUCAGUUACUAAUUCAUCAUAAAGGUUAGCGCGUACGACUGUUAAUCGUGAGGUUGAGAGUUCGAUCCUCUCCCGGGACG
This 130-nucleotide transfer RNA is filed under the name Aspergillus brasiliensis. Its description in RNAcentral is "tRNA-Asn". Lineage: Eukaryota; Fungi; Ascomycota; Eurotiomycetes; Eurotiales; Aspergillaceae. The record is from RNAcentral.